Molecule: small nucleolar RNA, 107 nt
Organism: Hibiscus syriacus
Lineage: Eukaryota; Viridiplantae; Streptophyta; Magnoliopsida; Malvales; Malvaceae
Source: RefSeq, a predicted model, not a curated record
AAUCCAUGCAUUGGGAAUUUACACUACAAAUCCUUGAAACAUUCUCAUGCUUCCUACAAGUUCUCAUCUUCUAACUGCUUAAAAGAUAUUAAGUCAUUCCUUAGAUU